AACGAACGCUGGCGGCAGGCCUAACACAUGCAAGUCGAGCGGACCCUUCGGGGUUAGCGGCGGACGGGUGAGUAACGCGUGGGAAUAUGCCCUUCUCUACGGAAUAGUCCUGGGAAACUGGGGGUAAUACCGUAUACACCCUUUGGGGGAAAGAUUUAUCGGGGAAGGAUUAGCCCGCGUUGGAUUAGGUAGUUGGUGGGGUAAUGGCCUACCAAGCCGACGAUCCAUAGCUGGUUUGAGAGGAUGAUCAGCCACACUGGGACUGAGACACGGCCCAGACUCCUACGGGAGGCAGCAGUGGGGAAUCUUAGACAAUGGGGGCAACCCUGAUCUAGCCAUGCCGCGUGAGUGAUGAAGGCCUUAGGGUUGUAAAGCUCUUUCAGCUGGGAAGAUAAUGACGGUACCAGCAGAAGAAGCCCCGGCUAACUCCGUG
RNAcentral lists this ribosomal RNA (433 nucleotides) under uncultured bacterium. RNAcentral's name for it is "partial 16S ribosomal RNA". It matches the Rfam family "Bacterial small subunit ribosomal RNA", at positions 29 to 507 of the family's 1533-position model. The record is from RNAcentral.